RNAcentral lists this ribosomal RNA (288 nucleotides) under uncultured bacterium. RNAcentral describes it as "partial 16S ribosomal RNA". It matches the Rfam family "Bacterial small subunit ribosomal RNA", at positions 775 to 1067 of the family's 1533-position model. The record is from RNAcentral.
GGAUUAGAUACCCUGGUAGUCCACGCCGUAAACGUUGAAUACUUGCUGUUGGCGAUAUACUGUCAGCGGCUCAGCGAAAGCGUUAAGUAUUCCACCUGGGGAGUACGCCCGCAAGGGUGAAACUCAAAGGAAUUGACGGGGGCCCGCACAAGCGGAGGAGCAUGUGGUUUAAUUCGAUGAUACGCGAGGAACCUUACCUGGGCUUAAAUGUUAGUGAUCGACCGAGAAAUCGGUUUUCCCUUCGGGGCACAAAGCAAGGUGCUGCAUGGCUGUCGUCAGCUCGUGCCG